GUGGCUGUGACGAGGAGAGGGUCGUUCUUGUCCCAUUCCUCCACUUUUACUAGAAAAUAAAAGGGAAAUACAACUUAACACUCAAAUAACCCACUAUACAUAUCUAGAAAACCACUGUGGUCCAUUGUGUUACUAGGGCUGAAGUGAUAACAGAAAACGGCCCUUUGGAAAGCUUUAUGAUUGGUUGGGAAGGAUGAUGGUAUGCUGGCCAAUCAGUGAUCAGCACCGACUCCGUGACGUGGCUCUGUCGUAUCAGUGACGUCAUCAUGGUAAAGGUGGAUGUGAUGACGUAACCCACACCUAGUCAUGCUCAAGGUCCCAGGCGCUGGUAAGGCCGCGAGUUUGUGAUCCCGUCUUCUAGAAUUAAGACAACAAAGGUCAGACUAGUAAUUAUUUUGAUUACGUAUCAUCCAAUUAUCUUUUUGUUAUAAUCUAUUUCGCCUCCAUUAUGUACUUGUUAUUAUCAGUGUUGCUGAGGAUUAUAAUGCAGCGUCACUUUCCGAAAGAUGCUAUACCGUCAUUUAUUUCGCGCCAAAAUUCCCAGCCGCGAUUUUGAU
Long non-coding RNA from Penaeus chinensis, 557 nucleotides. RefSeq lists it as uncharacterized. The transcript is spliced from 3 exons. NCBI's taxonomy places the organism in Eukaryota, Metazoa, Arthropoda, Malacostraca, Decapoda, Penaeidae. The record is from RefSeq and is a predicted model, not a curated record.